This 104-nucleotide microRNA precursor is filed under the name Marmota monax (woodchuck). Lineage: Eukaryota; Metazoa; Chordata; Mammalia; Rodentia; Sciuridae. The record is from RNAcentral.
AUGGGGAUUGCUGGAUUAUAUGUUGAUUCUAUUUUUAAUUUUUUUAAAGAACUGCCAUAUUGUUUUCCAAAGCAAAUGUACCAUUUUACAUUCCUGUCAACAGU